AUGCAAGUCGCACGAGAACGCUUCUGCUUGCAGGGGCUAGUAAAGUGGCGCACGGGUGAGUAACGCGUGGGUAAUCUACCCUUGGAUUCGGGAUAACCCUUCGAAAGGAGUGCUAAUACCGGAUGAAGUCAUUUAGGCUGUGGUUUAGAUGAUGAAAGGUGGCCUCUCCGAGGAAGCUACCGUUUGGGGAUGAGCCCGCGUACCAUUAGCUUGUUGGUGGGGUAACGGCCUACCAAGGCGACGAUGGUUAGCUGGUCUGAGAGGAUGAUCAGCCACACUGGAACUGACACACGGUCCAGACUCCUACGGGAGGCAGCAGUGNGGAAUUUUGCGCAAUGGGGGGAACCCUGACGCAGCNNCGCCGCGUGAGUGNAGAAGGCCUUCGGGUCGUAAANCUCUGUCGAGUGGGAAGAACCUUCGUAUGUUGAAUAUNCAUACGGACUGACGGUACCACAGAAGGAAGCACCGGCUAACUCCGUGCCANCANCCNCGGUAAUACGGAGGGUGCAAGCGUUAUUCGGAAUUAUUGGGCGUAAAGAGCGCGUAGGCGGCUUUGCAAGUCAGGUGUGAAAUCCUGGGGCUCAAACCCGGAAGAGCAUUUGAUACUGUGGAGCUUGAGUAUGGGAGAGGGAAGUGGAAUUCCUGGUGUAGCGGUGAAAUGCGUAGAUAUCAGGAGGAACACCGGUGGCGAAGGCGGCUUCCUGGACCAACACUGACGCUGAGGCGCGAAGGCGUGGGGAGCAAACAGGAUUAGAUACCCUGGUAG
RNAcentral lists this ribosomal RNA (766 nucleotides) under unidentified sulfate-reducing bacterium 2B14. RNAcentral's name for it is "bacterial SSU rRNA". It matches the Rfam family "Bacterial small subunit ribosomal RNA", at positions 55 to 793 of the family's 1533-position model. Lineage: Bacteria; Deltaproteobacteria. The record is from RNAcentral.